GGCUGUUGAUCAUCCUAAAACACCUCCUUGUUACACUGGCAAGACUCAUAUCUUUAUAAGUCCCAUUAAAUUCUCACCCUCACUACACCUGAGACACAGGAGUGAUUGGGUGUAAAUAUUAGGACGAGGAGAGGGUGACACACGGGUGGGAAGAGUUGAGCGACACAAUGGAACUGGGUUGGCGGAUAAUUUGGAGGGCUCACUGGGGAGAGGAAAUAGUGUUA
Molecule: non-coding RNA, 224 nt
Organism: Pelobates cultripes (western spadefoot toad)
Lineage: Eukaryota; Metazoa; Chordata; Amphibia; Anura; Pelobatidae
Source: the annotation of a GenBank genome assembly